ACUUGUUCUAGUUAGGUUCAUUCUUUUUUACUGUGAACUGUUUUAAUUUUCAGCGUUUGAGGAAUGUCUUUUAGUCAUAGGGAUAGACUAUUAGAAUGUUAACCGAGCUGAAGUCAGGUUUAGACCUGGUAUCCUAUUAAUUAUUUACCAAAAGAAUUCAGUAUUAUUAUUGUAACAUAAGCGUAAAAAACUUAUAAAACAACUUUUAACAACGGAUCUCUUGGUUCUCGCAUCGAUGAAGAACGUAGCAAAGUGCGAUAACUAGUGUGAAUUGCAUAUUCAGUGAAUCAUCGAGUCUUUGAACGCAACUUGCGCUCAAUGGUAUUCCAUUGAGCACGCCUGUUUCAGUAUCAAAAACACCCCACAUUCAUAAUUUUAUUGUGAAUGGAAUUGAGAAUUUCGACUUGUUUGAAUUCUUUAAACCUAUUAGGCCUGAACUAUUGUUCUUUCUGCCUGAACAUUUUUUUAAUAUAAAGGAAUGCUCUAGUAUUAAGACUAUCUCUGGGGCCUCCCAAAUAAAACUUUCUUAAAUUGAU
This 536-nucleotide ribosomal RNA is filed under the name Mucor hiemalis. RNAcentral describes it as "eukaryotic LSU rRNA". The stretch from base 201 to 353 matches the Rfam family "5.8S ribosomal RNA". Lineage: Eukaryota; Fungi; Mucoromycota; Mucoromycetes; Mucorales; Mucoraceae. The record is from RNAcentral.